AUUAAACGCUGGCGGCAUGCCUUACACAUGCAAGUCGAACGGUAGCGCGGGGCAACCUGGCGACGAGUGGCGAACGGGUGAGUAAAGCAUCGGAACGUGCCCUGGAAUGGGGGAUAACGUAGCGAAAGUUACGCUAAUACCGCAUAUUCUGUGAGCAGGAAAGCAGGGGAUCGCAAGACCUUGCGUUCUGGGAGCGGCCGAUGUCGGAUUAGCUAGUUGGUGGGGUAAAAGCCUACCAAGGCGACGAUCCGUAGCGGGUCUGAGAGGAUGAUCCGCCACACUGGGACUGAGACACGGCCCAGACUCCUACGGGAGGCAGCAGUGGGGAAUUUUGGACAAUGGGCGGAAGCCUGAUCCAGUCAUGCCGCGUGAGUGAAGAAGGCCUCGGUUGUAAG
This 395-nucleotide ribosomal RNA is filed under the name uncultured bacterium. RNAcentral's name for it is "bacterial SSU rRNA". It matches the Rfam family "Bacterial small subunit ribosomal RNA", at positions 29 to 429 of the family's 1533-position model. The record is from RNAcentral.